GUGAUCUAGCCAUGGGCAGGUUGAAGGUUGAGUAACAUCAACUGGAGGACCGAACCGACUAAUGUUGAAAAAUUAGCGGAUGACUUGUGGCUAGGGGUGAAAGGCCAAUCAAACUCGGAGAUAGCUGGUUCUCCCCGAAAGCUAUUUAGGUAGCGCCUCGGACGAAUACUACUGGGGGUAGAGCACUGUUAAGGCUAGGGGGUCAUCCCGACUUACCAACCCUUUGCAAACUCCGAAUACCAGUAAGUACUAUCCGGGAGACACACGGCGGGUGCUAACGUCCGUCGUGGAGAGGGAAACAACCCAGACCGCCAGCUAAGGUCCCAAAGUAUUGCUAAGUGGGAAACGAUGUGGGAAGGCUCAGACAGCUAGGAUGUUGGCUUAGAAGCAGCCAUCAUUUAAAGAAAGCGUAAUAGCUCACUAGUCGAGUCGGCCUGCGCGGAAGAUGUAACGGGGCUAAGCAAUACACCGAAGCUGCGGCAAUAUCUUUUAGAUAUUGGGUAGGGGAGCGUUCUGUAAGCCGUUGAAGGUGAAUCGUAAGGUUUGCUGGAGGUAUCAGAAGUGCGAAUGCUGACAUGAGUAACGACAAAGGGGGUGAAAAACCUCCUCGCCGGAAGACCAAGGGUUCCUGUCCAACGUUAAUCGGGGCAGGGUGAGUCGACCCCUAAGGUGAGGCCGAAAGGCGUAAUCGAUGGGAAACGGGUUAAUAUUCCCGUACUUCUGACUAUUGCGAUGGGGGGACGGAGAAGGCUAGGUGGGCCAGGCGACGGUUGUCCUGGUUCAAGUGCGUAGGCUUGAGAGUUAGGUAAAUCCGGCUCUCUCUAAGGCUGAGACACGACGUCGAGCUGCUACGGCAGUGAAGUCAUUGAUGCCAUGCUUCCAGGAAAAGCCUCUAAGCUUCAGAUAGUCAGGAAUCGUACCCCAAACCGACACAGGUGGUCGGGUAGAGAAUACCAAGGCGCUUGAGAGAACUCGGGUGAAGGAACUAGGCAAAAUGGUACCGUAACUUCGGGAGAAGGUACGCUCUUGAUGGUGAAGUCCCUCGCGGAUGGAGCUGACGAGAGUCGCAGAUACCAGGUGGCUGCAACUGUUUAUUAAAAACACAGCACUGUGCAAAAUCGCAAGAUGACGUAUACGGUGUGACGCCUGCCCGGUGCCGGAAGGUUAAUUGAUGGGGUUAGCGCAAGCGAAGCUCUUGAUCGAAGCCCCGGUAAACGGCGGCCGUAACUAUAACGGUCCUAAGGUAGCGAAAUUCCUUGUCGGGUAAGUUCCGACCUGCACGAAUGGCGUAAUGAUGGCCACGCUGUCUCCACCCGAGACUCAGUGAAAUUGAAAUCGCUGUGAAGAUGCAGUGUACCCGCGGCUAGACGGAAAGACCCCGUGAACCUUUACUACAGCUUGGCACUGAACAUUGAACCUACAUGUGUAGGAUAGGUGGGAGGCUAUGAAGACGUGACGCCAGUUGCGUUGGAGCCGUCCUUGAAAUACCACCCUUGUAUGUUUGAUGUUCUAACUUAGACCCAUUAUCUGGGUUGAGGACAGUGCCUGGUGGGUAGUUUGACUGGGGCGGUCUCCUCCCAAAGAGUAACGGAGGAGCACGAAGGUGGGCUAAUCACGGUUGGACAUCGUGAGGUUAGUGCAAUGGCAUAAGCCCGCUUAACUGCGAGAAUGACGGUUCGAGCAGGUGCGAAAGCAGGUCAUAGUGAUCCGGUGGUUCUGUAUGGAAGGGCCAUCGCUCAACGGAUAAAAGGUACUCCGGGGAUAACAGGCUGAUACCGCCCAAGAGUUCAUAUCGACGGCGGUGUUUGGCACCUCGAUGUCGGCUCAUCACAUCCUGGGGCUGAAGUCGGUCCCAAGGGUAUGGCUGUUCGCCAUUUAAAGUGGUACGCGAGCUGGGUUUAGAACGUCGUGAGACAGUUCGGUCCCUAUCUGCCGUGGGCGUUGGAAGAUUGAAGGGGGCUGCUCCUAGUACGAGAGGACCGGAGUGGACGAACCUCUGGUGUUCGGGUUGUGUCGCCAGACGCAUUGCCCGGUAGCUAAGUUCGGAAUUGAUAAGCGCUGAAAGCAUCUAAGCGCGAAGCGAGCCCUGAGAUGAGUCUUCCCUGA
This 2106-nucleotide ribosomal RNA is filed under the name Vibrio cholerae. RNAcentral's name for it is "partial 23S ribosomal RNA". It matches the Rfam family "Bacterial large subunit ribosomal RNA", at positions 725 to 2818 of the family's 2925-position model. The record is from RNAcentral. Lineage: Bacteria; Pseudomonadati; Pseudomonadota; Gammaproteobacteria; Vibrionales; Vibrionaceae.